RNAcentral lists this ribosomal RNA (443 nucleotides) under uncultured bacterium. Its description in RNAcentral is "partial 16S ribosomal RNA". It matches the Rfam family "Bacterial small subunit ribosomal RNA", at positions 338 to 795 of the family's 1533-position model. The record is from RNAcentral.
CCUACGGGUGGCAGCAGUGGGGAAUAUUGGGCAAUGGGCGCAAGCCUGACGCAGCAACGCCGCGUGAAGGAAGAAGGCUUUCGGGUUGUAAACUGCUGUUCUGAGGGACGAAGAAAGUGACGGUACCGCAGGAAUAAGCCACGGCUAACUACGUGCCAGCAGCCGCGGUAAUAAGUAGGUGGCAAGCGUUAUCCGGAUUUAAUGGGAGUAAAGGGCGUGUAGGCGGGAAUGCAAGUCAGAUGUGAAAACUCAGGGCUCAACCCUGAGCCUGCAUUGGAAACUGUUUAUCUUGAGUGCGGGAGAGGCAAGCGGAAUUCCAGGUGUAGCGGUGAAAUGCGUAGAUAUACGGAGGAACACCAGUGGCGAAGGCGGAUUGCUGGACAGUAACUGACGCUGAGGCGCGAAAGCGUGGGGAGCAAACAGGAUUAGAUACCCCAGUAGUC